AAAAGUGAAAGACGGUCUUGCUGUCACUUAUAGAUGGAUCCGCGCUGCAUUAGCUAGUUGGUAAGGUAACGGCUUACCAAGGCAACGAUGCAUAGCCGACCUGAGAGGGUGAUCGGCCACACUGGAACUGAGACACGGUCCAGACUCCUACGGGAGGCAGCAGUAGGGAAUCUUCCGCAAUGGGCGAAAGCCUGACGGAGCAACGCCGCGUGAGUGAUGAAGGUCUUCGGAUCGUAAAACUCUGUUAUUAGGGAAGAACAUAUGUGUAAGUAACUGUGCACAUCUUGACGGUACCUAAUCAGAAAGCCACGGCUAACUACGUGCCAGCAGCCGCGGUAAUACGUAGGUGGCAAGCGUUAUCCGGAAUUAUUGGGCGUAAAGCGCGCGUAGGCGGUUUUUUAAGUCUGAUGUGAAAGCCCACGGCUCAA
RNAcentral lists this ribosomal RNA (428 nucleotides) under Staphylococcus aureus. RNAcentral's name for it is "bacterial SSU rRNA". It matches the Rfam family "Bacterial small subunit ribosomal RNA", at positions 196 to 612 of the family's 1533-position model. Lineage: Bacteria; Bacillati; Bacillota; Bacilli; Caryophanales; Staphylococcaceae. The record is from RNAcentral.